Molecule: non-coding RNA, 1544 nt
Organism: Peromyscus maniculatus bairdii (prairie deer mouse)
Lineage: Eukaryota; Metazoa; Chordata; Mammalia; Rodentia; Cricetidae
Source: RefSeq, a predicted model, not a curated record
UGCUUUAGCUCUUAUGGUUUAUUUUCAACUACUUAAAAAUUGUGUUUUUCUUUUAAGUUUUGAAUAAAUGCCAAAUGUCAUAUAGCAAAUACAUAGAGAGAAGGAAGUAAAUAGGAGUUAUGCCCAGAAAUGAGUAUGUUUCUUCUUCCAGUGUGAAGGGUUGAGUCAAUCUUGGUGCUUGGACUAAGUGGGUUCUGUUGUUUCUAUGGUUACCACCUCCGACUCACAGGCUUCACAUUCUCAGAGUGGGUUGCUGUUGCUGUCCUCUGCAUCCUGGGGUCCUCCACCGGACAGAAGAUUUCUCCUUGUGAGCACGCAGUAGGGGUGCAGAGAAGACUGUGAGCUCCCCAUGUGUCUAGGGCCCCAGUUCUGAAAUGAUGUGCCGGAUGAUGUCAACUGCUACCUGGAACAGAAUGACCUGGAGGAAUAAAGAGCUGAGCAAUGGGCCGUUGCCCUUAACAACCUGCUGACUGUCACUCACACUUCUGUAAAACCUCACUUGCUUGCCUGCCCCACCUUGUGGUUUUAGAGAGGACACACUGGACCUGGUACCAAAGCCUUUCAGGAGCUGUCUUGGCUUUGGUCCAUGGGUGACAUCUCUUCUCUUCCGCUCUGACUGGUGUCAGAGUGCUUAUUCCAGAAAGAUCUGCAACAGUAGCCUCUCUGGCAGCUCAGUGUGGCCAAACAACCAUUCACUAGUCAACAGAAUGUGACUCUAGGUGCCUUUUCAAAAGAAAAUGGAAUGUGCUCUUUUUUCCUUUCUUUAUCUUUCAGCCAAAAACAAAACCUUAGUCAUUAGCUACCUCAAUUAUACAGAUUGGCAACACAUGCUAUGUUAGGGGUAAGGAUACACUAGAAAAACCUGGGUCCUAACACCGAGAAACUGAUGUAUUAACCCUGGAAGAAGUCAUUGUUGCUUUGGAUUUUUGUUACAACUUUAUUCUAGUGCAACCAGGAGGCAGCAGGAAGAUGAUCCAGUCAAGCGUCUCUGCAAACAACAGAAACUCAAUCCAGAAUGGUCCAACCAAUAGGGAAGCUUGUGCCUCUUGAAACCAGGAAGUCUGGAGUGGGCAGGCUUCAGGGGUGACCUAAUGCAUGGCGCAGGCUACCUUUAGAAUUCCCGUGAUUCUUGUCACAGUUCUUUUAUUGGCUUCAUCAACAAAUAAAAGAACAGAAAGAAUAAUUCUUGUAUUUGCCGAGUCAGCAAGACGCUGCCAGUAGCUCCCGAAACUACAUGAAUUUUUCUUAGCAUCAGUGGAGACAAAAAACAAACUUGUUCAUUAACUAUUGAGUAAAGGAAUUGAGUUACACUUUGAUUUUAGAUCAGGCUAACUUCUAUCUGAAUUAAUUAUCAAUACCCAGAUCACAGAUUGUACCUACUGCCUUGUCAUUGUGAAGGGGUGGUGCCACCCUGAGUAGCUUAAGCCAAUCAAUAUCUGUGGGACUGGUGGGAAUAAUUAGGCUAGCCAAGGUUCUUGGCUGCUCCUCAGUGGCAAAGAAAUGCCAGGAAGCACCAAGUCAGUGUCCUCUACUAAAGACGAGCA